UACAGAGGUGGCAAGCGUUGUUCGGAAUUACUGGGCGUAAAGGGCGCGUAGGCGGCCAUCUAAGUCAGACGUGAAAUCCCCCGGCUUAACCUGGGAACUGCGUCUGAUACUGGACGGCUAGAGUAUGGGAGAGGGAUGUAGAAUUCCAGGUGUAGCGGUGAAAUGCGUAGAUAUCUGGAGGAAUACCGGUGGCGAAGGCGGCAUCCUGGACCAUUUACUGACGCUGAGGCGCGACAGCGUGGGGAGCAAACAGG
RNAcentral lists this ribosomal RNA (254 nucleotides) under uncultured bacterium. RNAcentral's name for it is "partial 16S ribosomal RNA". It matches the Rfam family "Bacterial small subunit ribosomal RNA", at positions 524 to 776 of the family's 1533-position model. The record is from RNAcentral.